UCAUCCAGUUCUACCCUUCUUCGACUUCCAUCACGGCAUUUGCUUUACCGAAAGCAGAAAUGUUAACGUGUUGUAUGUACACCUCAUCUGGGAGCUGCUCCAACUCUUUCCUAGUCAAUCGGCUUAGCAUGUCUGCCUCUUCAUUUUCCUCCCGAGGUAUUCUCUGGUAUCUUACCGUAAUCCCCCGGCUCUUGAGCUCGGCUUCUAUGGCCCUUACCUUCGCCAGAUAAUUCUGCAUAGUAGGGUCUCUGGCCUGAUA
Molecule: long non-coding RNA, 259 nt
Filed under: Manihot esculenta (cassava)
Lineage: Eukaryota; Viridiplantae; Streptophyta; Magnoliopsida; Malpighiales; Euphorbiaceae
Description: long non-coding RNA (MESC_LNC007752)
Source: RNAcentral